UUUUUUUUUUUCUUUUUUUUUUUUUGUCUUUUUGCCAUUUCUUGGGCCACUCCUGCGGCAUAUGGAGGUCCCCAGCCCAGGGGUCGAAUCGGAGCUGCAGCCGCCAGCCUACGCCAGAGCCACAGCAACGCAGGAUCCGAGCCGCGUCUGCGACCUACACCACAGCUCACGGCAACCGCCAGAUCCUUAACCCACGGAGCAAGGGCAGGGACCGAACCCGCAACCUCAUGGUUCCUAGUCGGAUUCGCUAACCACUGCGCCACGACGGGAACUCCUGGUGUGACAUUUCCAACCCCCUCCCUCCCACUCCUGCUCCUUCCCCUUUUCCUCUUCCUCUCUCUCCCUCCAGCCCCUCCGUAUCCUCUGAGCCUCACGGUGAGGGGAUCAGAUCCGCCUUCUACUCCUCACCCACCUGGCAAUCACCUGAUGCAACUGCGCGAUCAAAGAUCCAAAGGAAUUUUAUCAACACCCAGCAUAGAGGUAAAGCCAGGGACAAAAACACCCAAAUCUGUAUGUGGGAGCCUCUGGGUGCCUGACGCUCUGCACGCUUAUUUAAGACAGGUGGCUGUCUUUUCCGCCCCUGUUCAUGAAAGAAAUACUGUCAAGGAAGGCGUCUCCCUGAGGAAGAAGGCGUGGGAAACUGGGGAGGCACUGGGCUCCCUGGCUGGAAAAAUAGGGGUCAAUCUGAUGAGAAACCAGGAAAGCGGAAUUCAAGGGUGGCUCGAGGAGAGGGACCUCCAACACAAUGACACAACCACCUCUGCUUCUUUUAUUAGAGAGGUGCGAAUGCCCCUUCUGGCACAUGGUAACAUGAAAAAGAAAACACAGUUAACGUUAAGCCAUACCUUGGGGGGAAGGGGAGCAUGUUCUAUACAUUAAAAUUCCCAAGCUGUAACAUAAAUAAAUACACCUCCCCGCCAAUGCAGCCGGGGAGAGGAUCGCCAACAAGUCACCUUGGCUUUGGAAGGAAGUUUCCAAUCAUGAAUAUUUUAUCAAUGCAGAAGUAGAAAGUGAUGUACAAACACGAAGAAAACAAACUGCUCUGUCAGAAGCCAGGAAUGAAGAGCCCUAAUAAAUAUUUUAAGUAUAGUCUCAUCAAAAGAUAAUUUGGAAGUAAAAAUAGAAUUUUAUUACACUUUGGCAGCAUCAUGUUGACAAAAGUCUGUGGAAUUAGAUCAACACAGAGAGGCAUGGAGGGAGAGUGUUUUUGGGGUUUUGGGUUUUUUUUUAUCUUUUUAGAGCUGCACCUGCAGCACAGGGAAGUUCCCAGGCAAGGGGUCGCAUCAGAGCUGUAGCUGCCAGCCUACACCACACCCCAGCCACAGCAAGGCAGCAGGAACCGAACUGCAUCUGCGACCAACAUCACAGCUCACGGCAACGUUGGAUCCUUAACCCACUGAGCAAGGCCAGGGAUCGAACCCUAAAAAGAAAAAAAACAAAACAAAAAAAGUGGAAGCGUCCAUCUUUUAGCUUUGCUGCAUGUAAGGGUGGCCAUGGGACCUACCUCUGCAAAAAAAGACAGAAAAUAGAAUUCGUGUUCUGUUGUUCAGGCUUCCAAUAAAUGAUACAGGGGUAUAUGUAUUUUUUCCAGGGCUUGGGGGUGCUCCACAGGGUCUGUUUUUUAAGAAUAAAUUUUACUGGCGUAUAGGUAGCUUUCGGCGUUGUCACUUCAGGUGUGCAGCAGAGUGAAUGAGCUGUACGUAUCCUCACAUCCACAGCUUAUCAGAUUCUUUCCCACAGAGGCUCUCAGGGACUAUUGAUGAGAUUUCCCCCCAGCUAGAAGUAGGUCCCAUCAAUUUUCAUACAAUGGUGUAUACACACUAUAUUUUGUAUACAGUAGUGUAUAUAUGCCAAUCCCAACCCAUGUGUCCCUCCCCCAACAUCUCUCCUCUGGUAACCAUAAGUUUGGUUUCAAAAAUCUUCAAGUCUGUUUUUGCGAAUGACGUUCUUGUGUAUCCUUUUUUUAUUAGAGUCCACAUCUGAGUGAUCUCGUGUGACGUUUGUCUUUCUCUGUCUGACUUACUUCCCUUAGUAUAGCAUCCCUAGGUCCACCCGGGUGGCUGCAAAUGGCAUGCUUUCAUUAUUUUUUAUGGGUGAGUAAUAUUCCACCAUAUAUUUGUACCACAUCACCACAAUGGAAUAUUACUCAGCCAUUAAAAAAAAAACAGGGAAAUUCUGUCAUCUGGGAUGACAUGGAGAGACGUGGAGGAUCUUAUGCUCAGUGACAUAAAUCAGACGGAGAAAGACAAACAUACAUGAGGAAUCUCAAAACACAGGCCAAUUCAUCAUACAGAGGACCUUGUGGUCCCCAGAGGUGGGGGGUAUGGAGUGAGGGGUUACAAGGUUACAAAAUAAAUAAAUACAACCAUAAAUAAUAAAUAAUAACAAAGUUACGAAAUAAAGUCAUGGGGAUACAGUGCACCUCAGAGAGACUACAAUGCAUCAGACUGCAUGAGACGCUUGAAAGUGGCUCAGAGAACAGUUCUCAGCACAAGAAAAAAAUCUGUAACUAGGGGAGGCGACGGGUGUCACCGAGGCCGAUGGGGAUCCUUCCGCCCGCUAUGCAAAGAUCCCUCUGUGGUCUCGCACACCCGCAACGCAUAUAACGAAUGCUCUCUGUCCAAUGCGUCUCCAUCUAACGGGGCAACACUUUUAAAGAAGUCUUUGAAGUGUUUCGAGGCCAAGGUUUUCCUCCCUGAUGAGAGAGAGCUUUCCGGAAAACAUUUCGUCUCUUCCGCUCUGGCUCAUCAUGGAAUAAAGCAAGAGAGAUUCACGCGGGGACAAACUACACUCAGUGGCUCUUCCUACCCUUAAAACUCUCAGGGGAAAACCAACCACAGGGUCCUCAGCCCUUUACACACACAGCUCCUACGUCUGAAAGUGUCUUCAUUGAUUCUGCCAGCUACAAAAGCCUGGUUUGGGCAGAUGCAAAGCUACUGUCUAUAUGAGGGAUGAGCAAGGCCCCAGGGAGGAGGUCCGGGAGCUGUGUUCCUUUCCUGUGACAGAGCAUCACAGAAAAGAGGGUGACCGAGAAGGCCGGCGUCCUCACGGUGGCUCCACAGGUUAAGAACGCGACACAGCGUCUUGUGCGGACGCGGGCUGGAUCCCUGGCCUCACUCAGUGGGUUAAGGAUCCGGCGUGCCCUCAAGCUGCGGUGUAGGUGGCACAUGCAGCUCAGAUCCCGUGUGGCUGUGGCUGUGGUGUAGACAUGCAGCCACAGCUCCGCCGAGACCCCUAGCCUGGGAAAUUCUAAUCUAUGUGCCACAGGUGCAGGCGUGAAAAGGAAAACACACACACACACAAAACUGAGUUGUUUGCUGUACAGCAGAAAUUAACACAACCUUGUAUACCAACUAUAUGUCAAUAAAAUAAAACGCAGGAAGCUCUUGGGUCUUGAUUCCCAUCUCUGGGUGACUAUUCAUUCAUUUCGCUGGAGAAAUAGUUACGUGUUCCUAAAAUCACGUGUCUGUGUUCCUAACAGCCUGAAAUGCCCAACCGCCAUCAAGGGGCUCAUCAAAUAACCGGCACCUGGCCACGGUGAUCCUUCCAGAUUCUGAAAAAUGCCCAACUCCAAGACACAGCUGGCCCUUGGCUUUCUGAGGCUCAGAACUACGUUGUCUUAGGAAGGCUGGAGCACACGGAAGGGGGAAGGUCCUUUUCCUGGUUGGUCUAAUGCACCGGCUUUUCCUCCAACAACACAGGAGGCUUUUGGAGUUCUCAUCAUGGCUCAGCUGAAACGAAUCUGACGAGCAUCCAGGAGGACGCAAGUUCAAGCCCUAAUCCCGCUCAGUGGGUUAAGGAUCCGGCGUGGCUGUGAGCUGUGGUGUAGGUCGCAGACGCGGCUUGGAUCUGGCGUGGCUGUGGCUGUAGCUCCGAUUUAGCCCCUAGCCUGGGAACCUCCAUAUGCCACAGGGUGCAGCCCUAAAAAGGCAAAAUCAAGCAAUCAAUCCAUAAACUAAAAAUAAAGAAACAAAAGAAAAAAAAGAGGCUUUUGUUUCCAGAUAAGGCAGGUGGCUUCGAUUUAUGGGCCAUUCUGUGUCUUUUUUUAAAAAAUUAGAGUUGAUUCACAACGUUGUGCCAGUGUCUGCUGUACAGCCAGGUGACCCAGUCGUACCUGUAAACACAGCCCUUUUCUGAUCUCAUGGUCUCUCUCAAGAUGUCCUUUUUUUCCACUUGGCCCUUUUGGCUCCAUCUCUGUGAUUCUGAUUUCAAAAAGGUCAGGCUGAGGAGUAUGACUCCCGCAGGGGGUCCCUCGAAUGCUUCAGGGUCUAGGGCGGCGUGGCCGUACAUGGACGGCGGGUGAUACCUCUUAUUCCUCAGUGGGAUGCCUGGCUGAUGCUCGUACCUGUGUCUGCAGGCAAGACAAUCACACUGCAUGACGCAUGCGAGGGGGACCUCUGCCUGCCCAAGUCUGUCUCGUCUUCCCCAACAUACUCACCUGUCUCAUCUUUCUCUGUGCCUUUAUUAAAGUCCAGUUAUGUGCAGUGUUGUGUCCAUGUCUGCCAUACAGCAGAGUGACCCCGUCCUACACAGAUUUACAUUCUUUUUCUCUUACUAUUGUCCAUCCUGGUCUGUCCCAAGAGACUGGACAGAGUUCCCUGUGCUGCACAGCAGGCCUUCAUGGCUUGUCCAUUCUCAAUGUCACAGUUUGCAUCUACGGACCCCCACACUCUGCGUCCAGCCCACUCCCUCCCCCUCCCCGCGGUUCACAUCUUUCAGCGCCAGCAGAGAACAGGGAAAGGGCUGCCGGUUCUCUGGAGAAUCCUCCAUCCUUCCCAAGCCUCCGCCACCUUCUCUAGGCUGUUGGCAUUUCUCCACCACCCCACCCGCCUCCUGUCCCCCGCCCCACACACCCCGAAAACUCCGACACACCCCACGUCAUGUGGGUCUUGCAUCUGGGGAGCGGGAGAAAUAAGACCUGAGGACGGCGGACGUCAGCAGCGGGAUGCAAGCGGAGCCCAGGCGACACAACCCAUCUGCGCGCUCCAAGGUCCCUGCAAACAGCGCAUGCCGAGCCUCCGUCUCCCUCUGUCUGUCUCUCUCUCUCACACUCACACACACACACCCCAUGACAGCACAAACCGGGCACCUUCGCCUGGAGGUUUCAACAGCCAAGCACAGCUCCCCUCUUACAGGGACGGCCUUGUGCUCACAGGGAAUGAAAAGGCAUCUCCGCCCCCGAGGUCACAGCAGAGGGUGGAAGAAACAGCCCCGGGGGAGGCGUGGCAAAGGCGGAAAAAAACGCCUUCCUCUCAUCAGUGGGGAGAGACCUCUGCUCUCCCUCCGCCCCGAACCCACAAACGGUCCCAAGGGCAGGAAGGUCACAGAGGGACCCCAGGCAAAGCCUGGGCCCUUCAGACGCCACGUGGAAGAGCGCCCCCCACCGCCAGUUGAUCUCUGAAAACCCACAAAGGGAAGCACGUGUGACAGCAAACUCCUGUUGUGGCUGGUGGGGGCUGUUUUCAAUUGGUUUAAGCUGAUGGGGGCUGUUUUCAGUUGGUUUAAGCUGCUGAGGGUUGUUUUCACUUGUGGGGGCUGUUUUAAGUUGGUUUAAGUUGGUGGGGACCGCUUUCAGUUGGUUUAAGUUGGCACAGGUUGUUUUCAGCUGGCUUAAGCUAGCGUGCAUUGUCUGCAAUUGGUUUAAGUGGGUGCGGGUUGUUUUAAGUUGGUUUACGUUGGUGGGGGUUGUUUAAAGUUUGUCCCGGUUGGUGGGGGCUUUUUUUAAGUGGGUUUAAGUGGUUGGGGCUGUUUUGAGUUGGUUUAAGCUGGUGCAGGUUGUUUUAAGUUGCUUUAAGUUGGUGGUGGUUGUUUUAAGUUGGUUUAAGCUGGUAUGGGUUGCUUUAAGUUGGUUUAAGUUGGUGGGGGUUGUUCCAAGUGGGUUUAAGCCACUAAGGGUGGCUCUAAGUUGGCUUAACCUGCUGUGCGUUGCUUUAAAUUGGUUGAAGCUGGUGGAGAAGCCGCGGGAAGACGGUUGAUUUAAGUUACCUGGAACUGAAAUCACUUGGGAAAAAAUCCACAGAGAAUGAGAACAGCAGGGGUAGGCUGCCAUGCUAAGGACAAAAGACACAAUUCUGGUCUUCAUUUCAGGUCCGGGGGUCAGAGGGGGUGAUGACAGACCUAACAGGGAGGCCACCUGCUCCGAUUUCAGCCAAACAGGCAGGACCCUGCAUCCCCCUCUGCUCUCCUCCCAUCCCCCACAGCACCUUC
This 6207-nucleotide long non-coding RNA is filed under the name Sus scrofa (pig). RNAcentral describes it as "lncRNA (ENSSSCG00005025449.1)". The record is from RNAcentral. Lineage: Eukaryota; Metazoa; Chordata; Mammalia; Artiodactyla; Suidae.